This 253-nucleotide ribosomal RNA is filed under the name uncultured bacterium. Its description in RNAcentral is "partial 16S ribosomal RNA". It matches the Rfam family "Bacterial small subunit ribosomal RNA", at positions 524 to 776 of the family's 1533-position model. The record is from RNAcentral.
UACAGAGGGUGCAAGCGUUAAUCGGAAUUACUGGGCGUAAAGCGUGCGCAGGCUGUUUUGUAAGUCAGAUGUGAAAUCCCUGGGCUCAACCUAGGAACUGCGUUUGAAACUACAAGGCUAGAGUGUAGCAGAGGGGGUAGAAUUCCACGUGUAGCAGUGAAAUGCGUAGAGAUGUGGAGGAAUACCAAUGGCGAAGGCAGCCCCCUGGGUUAACACUGGACGCUCAUGCACGAAAGACGUGGGGAGCAACAGG